Molecule: ribosomal RNA, 700 nt
Filed under: uncultured bacterium
Lineage: Bacteria
Description: bacterial SSU rRNA
Rfam family: Bacterial small subunit ribosomal RNA
Source: RNAcentral
UAGAAGACAUCUGAAGGAGAUUAAAGAUUUAUCGGUGAUGGAUGGGGAUGCGUCUGAUUAGCUUGUUGGCGGGGUAACGGCCCACCAAGGCGACGAUCAGUAGGGGUUCUGAGAGGAAGGUCCCCCACAUUGGAACUGAGACACGGUCCAAACUCCUACGGGAGGCAGCAGUGAGGAAUAUUGGUCAAUGGACGAGAGUCUGAACCAGCCAAGUAGCGUGCAGGAUGACGGGCCCUAUGGGUUGUAAACUGCUUUUAUAAGGGAAUAAAGUGAGCCUCGUGAGGCUUUUUGCAUGUACCUUAUGAAUAAGGACCGGCUAAUUCCGUGCCAGCAGCCGCGGUAAUACGGAAGGUCCGGGCGUUAUCCGGAUUUAUUGGGUUUAAAGGGAGCGUAGGCCGGAGAUUAAGCGUGUUGUGAAAUGUAGACGCUCAACGUCUGCACUGCAGCGCGAACUGGUUUCCUUGAGUACGCACAAAGUGGGCGGAAUUCGUGGUGUAGCGGUGAAAUGCUUAGAUAUCACGAAGAACUCCGAUUGCGAAGGCAGCUCACUGGAGCGCAACUGACGCUGAAGCUCGAAAGUGCGGGUAUCGAACAGGAUUAGAUACCCUGGUAGUCCGCACGGUAAACGAUGGAUGCCCGCUGUUGGUCUGAAUAGGUCAGCGGCCAAGCGAAAGCAUUAAGCAUCCCACCUGGGGAGUAC